CCGUAAAAAGAGUAAAAGCUCGUAGUUGGAUUUCUGGCAAUGAAUAACUUAUUGAAAUCAGCUAGAAUCAGCUUUUGGGUUGGUUUUAGUGUUGUAUUUUAAUAAAUAGUUACUCUGCCAUCAUUCGUGGAGAAUAAUUUGGCUCUUAAUUGAGUUGGAUUAUAAUCCCGAUCAAUUACUUUGAGAAAAUUAGAGUGUUCAAAGCAGGCAAAAUGCAAAUGAAUACAUUAGCAUGGAAUAAUGAAAUAUAAGACUUUAGUCUUCAUUUUCAUUGGUUAUUAAAGACAAAAGUUAAGAUUGAUAGGGAUAGUUGGGGGUGCUAGUAUUCAACGGCCAGAGGCGAAAUUCUGUGAUUCGUUGAGGACUAACAAAUGCGAAAGCAUUCACCAAAAAGGGCGAAUUCCAG
This 406-nucleotide ribosomal RNA is filed under the name uncultured eukaryote. RNAcentral describes it as "bacterial SSU rRNA". It matches the Rfam family "Eukaryotic small subunit ribosomal RNA", at positions 622 to 975 of the family's 1831-position model. The record is from RNAcentral.